This 809-nucleotide long non-coding RNA is filed under the name Mus musculus (house mouse). RNAcentral's name for it is "predicted gene 43574". The record is from RNAcentral. Lineage: Eukaryota; Metazoa; Chordata; Mammalia; Rodentia; Muridae.
GCCAGGAGAAGCGAGCCAGUAAAGAACAUCCCUCCAUGGCUUCUGCAUCAGCUCCUGCUUUCUGACCUGCUUGAGUUCCAGUCCUGACUUCCUUUGGUUUCCUUUAUUUGCAGUGGUCCUAUCCACUGAAGGCUGAGAAUGAGCAGUGGAUCAAGAUGGAAUUCACCUAUUGCAUAAAUUAAUCUUACCAUUAACAAGGUACAGAGAGUCCACUGAUCGGAAUAGAAUCUUUGGAGCAUCAAGUGGCAUCGGUGUCGUUUACAUACCUCUGUGUGAACCACCCUUGCACCCUAAUGUGAAUUCCAGAUGUGUGAGCCCUGAAGAGAAUGUGCUUAUUCAAAUAACUGGGGAUGUAAGACUUCUAUUUCUAUCAUGCAGACAACAGAGUCUGACUGGACCUGCUCACUUCUGGUAAAAGCUAUUAAAAAAAAUCAAUGAAGCCUAUGAGUUUGGAAUUAUGGGUAUGCACACAAUUGAAUGGAGGAUGGAAAAUUAAAAGCAUCAUAUGAUAAUGUGGCUGUCUAAUGAAGUAGGCCUGAUUUUGUUAAUGUGGAAAAACAUGAAAGAGGAGUUUCCACAGUUCAAGAUAACAUUUGAGAUAUAGAGCAAAUUUCUUGAGUCAAUGUAGAGAUUUUCAAAUAAGCAGUGAUGUACAUGUGAUUAUGAGUUAGAGUACAGACUUCAUUGUGUGUGUUUUAUAAAAUAUGGAAAACGAAAGUCUGAGAACAAGGAGCUUGUGCCUUGUGUGGUGGUAUCCUGCAGUUUGAAAGAAAGACAAUGCCAAGUAGACUAUGAAAAAAAAAAAAAAA